CAUAAUCAAAUUUCUCAAUAUUUGACCAUAGGACAAUAAGACAAUAAGGAAAAGAAAUGUCCAGUUAUUGCAGUGAGAUACACAUACUUCCCUUAGACUUUGGAGUAGACAUUUGUAUGCCACUUGUGGGCCUUGGAUUAUAUGUUCCAAUUGCGAGCAACUCUUUAUCUUCAAAGUUUGCAAUUGUCCAAGACUAUUAGCAACUGACAUUAGGAAGAUAUAUUUCAAAUUAUUGCAUCUCUUUAUUUCAACAAUCUUCAGACUUUGGAGUAGACAUUUGUAUGCCACUUGUGGGUCUUGGAUUAUAUCUUCCAAUUGCGAGCAACUCUUUAUCUUCAAAGUAUGCAAUUGCCCAAGGCUAUUAGCAACUGACAUUGGGAAGAUAUUUCAAAUUAUUGCAUCUCUC
Molecule: long non-coding RNA, 406 nt
Filed under: Gossypium raimondii (Peruvian cotton)
Lineage: Eukaryota; Viridiplantae; Streptophyta; Magnoliopsida; Malvales; Malvaceae
Description: long non-coding RNA (GRAI_LNC007598)
Source: RNAcentral